Molecule: ribosomal RNA, 463 nt
Filed under: uncultured bacterium
Lineage: Bacteria
Description: partial 16S ribosomal RNA
Rfam family: Bacterial small subunit ribosomal RNA
Source: RNAcentral
GACGAACGCUGGCGGCGUGCUUAACACAUGCAAGUCGAACGGAAAGGCCUUUUCGGAGGUACUCGAGUGGCGAACGGGUGAGUAACACGUGGGUGAUCUGCCCUGCACUCUGGGAUAAGCCUGGGAAACUGGGUCUAAUACCGGAUAGGACCGCACUUUAGUGUGUGUGGUGGAAAGUUUUUUCGGUGUAGGAUGAGCCCGCGGCCUAUCAGCUUGUUGGUGGGGUAAUGGCCUACCAAGGCGGCGACGGGUAGCCGGACUGAGAGGUUGGUCGGCCACAUUGGGACUGAGAUACGGCCCAGACUCCUACGGGAGGCAGCAGUGGGGAAUAUUGCACAAUGGGCGCAAGCCUGAUGCAGCGACGCCGCGUGGGGGAUGUCGGCCUUCGGGUUGUAAACUCCUUUCGCCAGGGACGAAGCGUUUUGUGACGGUACCUGGAGAAGAAGCACCGGCUAACUACGUG